This 1934-nucleotide long non-coding RNA is filed under the name Sus scrofa (pig). RNAcentral's name for it is "lncRNA (ENSSSCG00000049685.2)". Lineage: Eukaryota; Metazoa; Chordata; Mammalia; Artiodactyla; Suidae. The record is from RNAcentral.
UAAAAGAAAGGGGGAAAUAAAGAAACCACAGCCUUCAUCUGGCUUUUAGGGAACUUAGGACACAUGGAAGAAAGCGCUUGGAAGGCUAUUGAAAUAUUUACAAAACAAAUCAUUUACGUUUAACUUUUGUAUAUGUAAAACCCGGAGAGCUGCCUACAAAGACAGAGGCAACUUUAGUUAUGAGAUAUUUUGGCAUCAAAAUGGUUAAUAGUAUUAUAGCUUCAAAAGAGCCUAUUGGCUCACCCUCAAGGAUGCCCUGCAGUUGUUGUUAAAGUCAUCACAUGAAGCUAGCCUGCUCAGCUAGCCUUUAGAUUUGUCUGCUAACAGUAAAAAUACUAUAAUAAAUCGGUAACAUAUGUUGCCAGGCAAGGAAAAGUGAUAUAAAUAAAGAGACCAGGAGACCCAAACCAAGUACAAUGUGAAAAGAAUUUAACUUUCAAUCUCUGCGUUGGUUAAUUACCAUUUGAAAAGUCAUUUGAAAGUGUUACUCUUAUUUGCUUAUAUUCUUCCUCAUUUUUUUUUUUUUUCUCUUCAGAUUGCAUUCUUACCCAAAUACUCUUCGUGAUGGCCUGCUUUGCGGCUUUGGGAUUCUUUAGGGAAUGGAGAUCAGUUUCAUGGAUGACAUCCCAGUUUUCUCAUCAUCAGAAAAGAAAAAAAUCCUCUGGCCAGUGGAAGAAACAGUCACCAAAACGUGAAACAGCCUGGUGAGACAGCAAUAUUCAACUACGAAAAGACCAACAGCAUUGGUCAUGCCAUAUUGUACCUGUCUUUCGGUGUUCCUGCUGCCCACAGGCCUGGAAGCUUCAGACGGACAGGAUCUUGCAUUUUGGCUACUCCUGCACAUGGCCCAGAGUCUGGUAACCAGAAUGAACUUGAGUUGCGGUUAAACAGACAUGCGAAUCCUGCACCCCCACUCCAAGCACUGAGUAUAUCUUCCAGAACCAUAGCCUCUGCCUGGGGGAGGACUGAGCCUGCCCAGCAAGCUCACCGCAAGCUGGGAGAAGCCCAGACUCUGCAGGCACGUGGUUCUGCAGAACGAGCCCUGGAUGGACUCAGGCAGGCACACCCAGUGAUCUCUCCUAGAUUCAACAAUCAGGCCAGCAGCUGGUGUGACACUAAAUCUUCCCAGAGAAACAUAAACCCAGGAAAUGACAGCCUUGUCCCUAGCAUUGGCCUCAAUGCUCAUUGACAUAUCGAAGAAACUAAAGGGUGAAAGGAGGUGAUGGUUAAUUUUAUGCAUCACCUUGGCUGGAUGAUGGUGUCCAGUUAUUUGGUCAAACACUAGUCUAGAUGUUGCUUGAAGGUAGUUUUUAAAGGUGGUUAAAAUUUAACUCAAAAUAUUCCGAGUAAAGCAAAUUGCCCCCCAUGGUAUGGGUGGGUCUUAUCCAAUCAGUUGAAGGCCUUAAGCACAAGGACUGAGGUUUCCUGAAGAAGAAAUUCUCCUCAAGACGGCAACAUCGACUCUUACCUGAUUUUCCAACCUGCCUUACAGACUGCAGCCUUGCCAGUCCCACAACUGCAUGAAUCACUUCCUUCUCUCAAUCUCUCUUUCUAUUGUGUGUCUGUGUGUGUAUUCGCCUUCUGGUUCUGUUUCUCUGGAGAACCCUGCCGAUACAACCGACUAUGUUGAAUCUGUAGCAGAAGAGGUAGGGUGAUGGCCAUGAAAGCCAUGUUCGAGUUUCUAAUGGGUUCUCUAGGAUGAGGUCUUGGGCUUAUUUAAUGUGUCACAUCACUCUGACUAUCUUGAGAUGCUUGAGUAUCUGAGAUGCUUUAGAUAGUGCCUGAUGGGUCUUAUCAGUGGUGCUACAGAAAAGACGCUCAUGUUACAAGAAAGCUGAAUCAGAUGGCUGCCUGCUAGGGGUACUUCAAACUGUUUUGAGGACACUGACAUUAUCUAAUGCUUCUGUUAAAUAAUUAUAAUGUGAUCCCCCCCC